AUUAAACGCUGGCGGCAGGCCUAACACAUGCAAGUCGAACGGUAACAGGAAACAGCUUGCUGUUCCGCUGACGAGUGGCGGACGGGUGAGUAAUGUCUGGGAAACUGCCUGAUGGAGGGGGAUAACUACUGGAAACGGUAGCUAAUACCGCAUAACGUCGCAAGACCAAAGAGGGGGACCUUCGGGCCUCUUGCCAUCGGAUGUGCCCAGAUGGGAUUAGCUAGUAGGUGGGGUAACGGCUCACCUAGGCGACGAUCCCUAGCUGGUCUGAGAGGAUGACCAGCCACACUGGAACUGAGACACGGUCCAGACUCCUACGGGAGGCAGCAGUGGGGAAUAUUGCACAAUGGGCGCAAGCCUGAUGCAGCCAUGCCGCGUGUAUGAAGAAGGCCUUCGGGUUGUAAAGUACUUUCAGCGGGGAGGAAGGGAGUAAAGUUAAUACCUUUGCUCAUUGACGUUACCCGCAGAAGAAGCACCGGCUAACUCCGUG
This 490-nucleotide ribosomal RNA is filed under the name uncultured bacterium. RNAcentral describes it as "partial 16S ribosomal RNA". It matches the Rfam family "Bacterial small subunit ribosomal RNA", at positions 30 to 507 of the family's 1533-position model. The record is from RNAcentral.